RNAcentral lists this ribosomal RNA (701 nucleotides) under uncultured bacterium. RNAcentral describes it as "bacterial SSU rRNA". It matches the Rfam family "Bacterial small subunit ribosomal RNA", at positions 68 to 807 of the family's 1533-position model. The record is from RNAcentral.
GUCUUCAAUCUUACAGGAUGAGGAGCGGCGGACGGGUUAGCAACGCGUGGGAAUAUACCCUUCACUAUGGAAUAGCCUCGGGAAACUGAGAGUAAUACCAUAUACGCCCUUCGGGGGAAAGAUUUAUCGGUGAAGGAUUAGCCCGCGUAAGAUUAGAUAGUUGGUGGGGUAAUGGCCUACCAAGUCUACGAUCUUUAGCUGGUUUGAGAGGAUGAUCAGCAACACUGGGACUGAGACACGGCCCAGACUCCUACGGGAGGCAGCAGUGGGGAAUCUUAGACAAUGGGCGCAAGCCUGAUCUAGCCAUGCCGCGUGAGUGACGAAGGUCUUAGGAUCGUAAAGCUCUUUCGCCAGAGAUGAUAAUGACAGUAUCUGGUAAAGAAACCCCGGCUAACUCCGUGCCAGCAGCCGCGGUAAUACGGAGGGGGUUAGCGUUGUUCGGAAUUACUGGGCGUAAAGCGUACGUAGGCGGAUUGGAAAGUAGGGGGUGAAAUCCCAGGGCUCAACCCUGGAACUGCCUCCUAAACUAUCAGUCUAGAGUUCGAGAGAGGUGAGUGGAAUUCCAAGUGUAGAGGUGAAAUUCGUAGAUAUUUGGAGGAACACCAGUGGCGAAGGCGGCUCACUGGCUCGAUACUGACGCUGAGGUACGAAAGUGUGGGGAGCAAACAGGAUUAGAUACCCUGGUAGUCCACACCGUAAAG